This 3120-nucleotide long non-coding RNA is filed under the name Mytilus galloprovincialis (Mediterranean mussel). Lineage: Eukaryota; Metazoa; Mollusca; Bivalvia; Mytilida; Mytilidae. The record is from RNAcentral.
GGGGGAAUGUUUUUUUUUUUGCCAUUAGAGAUCUUGUUUUGAUGAUCCUUUGUUUCUUACAGUUUCCCUUCAUCCACUAAAGUUUUCGCAAAAUAACUGAAAAUGGUUAAUAAUUAUCAUCCAGGGGCAAUAACUCACACAAUGAUGGUCAACUAACUCCAAAAGCUGACACCGACUGUUUGGCUUAGAUGAGCUAAAUGGCAAUUUUGUUUAAACAUGUAUACACAUACAGAUUUUCAAAGCCAGAGUUUACAACAAUUAUAAAUAAAUCCCCGAUUAUUGACCAAUAGUUAUACAUUCUUAAGCACUGGAUUAUAAAUUGUAAGCAGGGGUUGUGUUUGGGGGCAGCCCCCUUGUGCCGAACAAUUUAGUAUAGUAAAAUUGAUGUUGAAAGUAAAUAUUUACAAGCAAUUUAGCUUUGGUUCUUUCAAAUCUGUCGGUCUGCUCCGCUAGCACUAUAUCAAAUAUUGGUUUAGUAUGGAGAAUUGAUUCUGGUAGUGGUGGGUAACAAACUUUCAUAAACCGAUCAUUGUAUAUAAAAAAAUUCGUAAGGGUCCACGGAACCGGUCUCGACUUUUUGUUAUCGCAGACUCAAAAAAAAUGACGAAAAACAUCAAUAAAAAAUUCCGCAAUACUGUCUUUGAUUGAAAGAACCUUCAAGUUUGGUAAAAAAAAUCCAGAUCUUAUGAUCUUAAAUGUUUUAAACUUUUAACUGCAGUCUGUAUGUAAUGUUAAUGAAGAAAAACUAAGUCAUUUUUAAGUAAAAUACGGAAAAUGAUUUUUUUUUUACAAAAUUUACUUCUGAUAAUAUCUUAUGAUCAGAAAUAAGCUUUGUAAGUUGGUAGAAAUCCAGGAUAGUUUAAGAACAUUAUAAAAAUUUUAAAAACUUAAACCACAGAGUGAAUGUUUUGUUUCUGGCAAAAAAAACUAAGUCCAUUUAUAAGUAAAAUACGGAAAGUGGAAAUUUAUUUUUACAAAAAUUUUCUUUUGAUACUAUCUUAUGAUCAUAAACAGCUUCUGUCCAAGUUGGUACAAAUCAAGGUUUAUGAAGUUAUUAAAUUUAAAAACUUUAACCACAGGUGAAUGUAAUGUUUCCUCGGCAAAAACUAGUCCAUUUAUAAGUAAAAAUACGGAAAAAUGGAAUUUUAUUUUUCAAAAAUUUACUUCUGGAUAUUUCUUAUGAUCAUAAACAAGCUUCUGUCCAAGUUUGGUAGAAAUUAAGUAUAGUUUAAGAAAGUUAUUUAAAAUUUCAAAAAACUUUAACCACAGAGUGAAUAUUUGUGGACGCCGCCGACGACGACGGAAUGUUGGAUCGCUUAGUCUCGCUUUUUCGACUAAAGUCGAAGGCUCGACAAUGAGAACCAUUAGCAAUAAAACACAUCUUAUUUACAUAUAAUUGACCAAAGUUUAAUUUGGUAACAAUGUAUCUCUGUCAUUUUAGUACGCGUUCUUUGUAUUUUAGUGAUACUUGCAAAUCUUUAGGCAGGAUAUUGUAUACUGUUUUUUUUUGUAUACUUUCAAAUACUAGUCUUGUUGACGGUUUCUAACGAAAUAGUUAUACGACGGGUGCCACAUGUGGAGCAGGAACUGCUUACUCUUCAGAAGCACCCGAGAUCACCCCUAGUUUUUGGUGGGGUUCGUGUUGACUAUUCUUUAACUGUUUCAGGAGGAUGUCAUGAUUCGAGAACCAGAUGCUACGCAGGGUGCAGCUUUAUAAACCCUGGACAGUUGUGGCAAGUAUGAACACAACUUUCAAGCUCGAUACAGCUCUGAAUCUGGAUUGAUUAAAAAGUUGACACAGCAAAGGUUUCCAACGAAGGAUGAAUGUUGUCCAAUGAACUUAAUAUAUUAUUUUUUUUUUUGCUUUUGAGCAAUUCACUAUGCUGUUGAAUAUUAAUCCCCUCCAAAAAAUAUUUGAAGAAAAAUGCUUUUUAAUUUCUGAAAUCUGAAUUCAAACCUUCUACUUGUGGUACAAUUUCAUACCAAUUGAAAUACUUAUAUACUUUGUGGUAUUGAUCAUUCUGAAAUUUUUUUUAUAAAGAUCUAUUUACUAGUUACUGUCCGGAAACCAAUGCCGACAUCAUACCAUUCAUUAUACGAUCCCAAAUUUUUUAGUGGUCGUAUAAAAAUGAUGCAAGAUUAACAAUUAUUUGGUCUCAUAAUUGAUGUAAGUAUCCAAGUUUAAUAGAGACAAAAAUUGAACUUUGACCAAUGCAGCAGAAACCCAUACAGCUGCUUGCAAAUUACAACUCUAGGUGAUGGUAGAAAUAUUUGCUACUGGACAUUUUGACCGGGGACUCUUGAAAUCUGUAAACCAUAAUUCAAACCCAUCCUUCAGUAGUAAAUCAAUCUUUUUGACAUGUUACAAAAUCAACGAGAAUUUAUGCCACAACAUAUUUCCACUCAAUCGCAAUUCAGAUUUGAAGUUCUCGUGGCUUACUUUAACAAUCUGUAAUUGUUCAUAGGCAUUUAAUUACAUCUGAUUUCUAUUUCAAUUUUGAAAACAGUAACAAAGACAAGGCCAUAUCAUAUAUUUGUUCAAUCCUACUGCAGCAUGCCAAUCAGGCAAACUUGUAGAGAUUUAAAGCAAAGAAGCCAAAUGCAGCAACUAAAUUAUUCGACAUCAAUGGGGAUUUGAAAACAUCUUCGACAAUUUUUUUCUUGGACGGACUUGAGAAAAACUUACAUUAUGUGUGGGGACAGAUUUAUACUAACUGCAACUUUUCAAGUUACAGUUUCAGUGACUGGUGUACAUUGUCUCUCGAUACAUAAUCUCGACACUAUUUCGUUUGCUGCUGUAUAUAAUUUUUAUAAAUCAGACUUGCAUACCUUGGUUACUUAGUCUUUUCUCGGCAAUUCAUAAUGCUGUAGGGUGUUUUUUUCUCUCAAAUUGUUGAAGGCAAAUGAGUAAAAAAUGCAAUAGGUGACUCAUCAACAUUUGGUCUGAUUUAUAGUUUUCUCUGGUAAUCACACCACAUGCACAUUGAUAAACUGAUAUUUUUUCAUUUGUUGGCGUUUAACAUCCAGCAGUAUAUAUUGCAUACAAAUGAGAACAUAUAUAGUUAUUAUAGCAGCACAAAACGACAACUAAAAUUGAGAAUGGAAAUGAGGAAUAUGUCA